This is a long non-coding RNA of Ailuropoda melanoleuca (giant panda), 708 nucleotides long. RefSeq lists it as uncharacterized. The record is from RefSeq and is a predicted model, not a curated record. The transcript has 4 exons. Lineage: Eukaryota; Metazoa; Chordata; Mammalia; Carnivora; Ursidae.
UGGAAUCACAAUCUGAGCCGAAGGCAGAUGCCUAAUGACCAAGCCACCCAGGAGCCCAUUGAGAACCUGCACCAUUUGUGAAGGCCACAGCCCUCGGUGAGGACCACUUCCUUUUCUAGGAAGAGAAAGGGGUCCAACAGUCCCCCCACAGAACUGCUGCAGCUCGCUGACAUAAAGGAAGCAAGGACUCCGGAGAUGGCCUGGGUAGGACUUAAGACAGACUUCUCCCCGACUUCUGACCUUCUGACCGGUCGUUCUCAGCCCGCUGCUCAGUAUAAUUGCCUGAGGCACAUUACAUCCUGACUGUUUGGUAAGCUGGUGGCCCUGCUUCCGGGACCUGGUUGUUCUGCCUUAGGGGCCUGGAACUGGAGCGAAUUCUCAGCAGAUCACAUUAGUGCUGUCAUCUCUAGAGUGCAAGGGCAGAAGUUCUCCGUCCUGGAACUGUCGCUAAGCUGCAAGCUACUAUUAUCGUUUUUUCCUUGCAAACAUGACACAUGUUUGUUCUCUCAGGCAGAAGAGCGUCCCACGGACUUUUCCGGAUCCAACUUAAUCUUAUUUCCUGAGGCAUUUUUACGGGUUUUUAAAACAGUAGCUAUGGGGCGCCUGAGUGGCUCAGUUGGUGAAGCGUCUGCCUUAGGCUCGGGCCAUGAUCCCAGGGUCCUGGGAUGGAGCCCCACAUCGGGCUCCCUGCUCAGCAGGCAGCCUGGG